UACAAGUACCCGUGAGGGAAAGUUGCAAAGCACUUUGAAGAGAGAGUUAAAGAGGACGUGAAACCGGUAGGAUGGAAACGGAUAGAGCUAGCGAAGUCGCCUGUAUUCAGCCAAAGACCCGGGGCUUCCCGCUGUCGUGUUUCUCAACGAGCAUGGCGGUGGUGCUUGCCCUGGGCCGAGGUGCAUUUGCAGGUGUUUGCGCUGAGACUUGCGAGGCAGCUUCGGGACCGGCGCCUAGAGGCUUCCCUCUGGGUUGAACCUGGGCGCCGUUACAGUUGUUUGCCCUGCUCGUACUGGUCCGGCCAACGAACCUGUCCGGUUCCGCUGUCAACUGGCCAAGGCAUCGCAUGCGAUGUCUAGUCUGGGGGCUGUGGGAUCGGGCUGUGUUCCCGGACCGCCUCUCGGUGUAGAAGCUGGUCAUCUCUCCGACCCGUCUUGAAACACGGACCAAGGAGUUUAGCGUAUGCGCGAGUCAUUGGGUGCACAAACCCACAGGCGCAAUGAAAGUAAAGGCUCGGUCGCCGGGCUGACAUGCGAGUGCCGCGGCUUCGGCCCAGGCAUGCAGCAUGGUCCCGUUGCAGCCGCUUGCGGCGCAGCGGAGACAGAGCGUAUGCGCUGAGACCCGAAAGAUGGUGAACUAUUCCUGAGCAGGACGAAGCCAGAGGAAACUCUGGUGGAAGUCCGAAGCGAUUCUGACGUGCAAAUCGAUCGUCUGACUUGGGUAUAGGGGCGAAAGACUAAUCGAACCAUCUAGUAGCUGGUUCC
RNAcentral lists this ribosomal RNA (765 nucleotides) under Mesocriconema antipolitanum. RNAcentral's name for it is "partial large subunit ribosomal RNA". It matches the Rfam family "Eukaryotic large subunit ribosomal RNA", at positions 343 to 958 of the family's 3401-position model. The record is from RNAcentral. Lineage: Eukaryota; Metazoa; Nematoda; Chromadorea; Rhabditida; Criconematidae.